This is a long non-coding RNA of Vombatus ursinus (common wombat), 2062 nucleotides long. RefSeq lists it as uncharacterized. NCBI's taxonomy places the organism in Eukaryota, Metazoa, Chordata, Mammalia, Diprotodontia, Vombatidae. The transcript has 4 exons. The record is from RefSeq and is a predicted model, not a curated record.
ACAAAACUAUCUCCUGCCCCAUUCUCUACCUCGUUUUCUAGUUGCCCUCUUGGCUGUGACUCUGCAGAUGUCAUGAUGUGACACCAGUGAGGGGUACCGUGGUGACUCUUCCUUACGUGGACAGUGGCUAUAAGUAGGAGAGUGAAAUAAUAAUCUGCAUAUCUACAAGCUUCGCAGUUUACAAAGUAUUUUCCUUACAACAACCCUGUGAGCCACAGUGGGGUGUGAUGUGUGCACAAAUAAUGAUGACACAAGGGAGCAUGCAACUUGGGCAAAAGAGAGAUGCCAACAAGUGCUGGAAACCACUUUGAGGACUUAGAGACCACUUUCAGCUUCAGAUAUCAGGAAAGACUUCAGAGUAGAGGGAGAAGCCUUGAAGAAUUUCAUCCUUCUGAGAUGAAGAAGGAAUGGGUUCCAAGCAUAGGGAGUAACCUCCAUGAAUGCACAGAGUGUAUGUGCUGCCAAAGCAAGCAUGGUAAGCUUUUCAGGUGAGAUCACAGUCUUACAGAAUUACUGGAUGUUUGAACUUGGAGAAAACUUGGUGAUCAUCUGGUUGAAUCCUCUCACUUUACAGAAGAAACGGAGGCCCAGAGAAGGGAAAUGACUUGCUCAAAGUCACAUAUGUCAUAAAGAGUAGAGGCAGGAUUCAAACCCAGAUCCACUGACUCUGGACUCCACUGCUCUAUACACAACACCAGGAGAUUCUGACUUUCUUCCUGCCUGGUGACCAAGAACUAACCUCCAGUCUGAACCUUACCCUGCUGUACCACAUGGAGAGACAUACUAUUAUGUGAAAGUCAUGCUCCGGAAGCAGACAGAUUGGGAAGUCUGGAGAGGAGACCUACCACGUGCCUCUUCCCUUUCUGCCUCCAGUUCCAACAGACAUGUUCCAUCAGCAGCAGGUACUGUGCUCUUCAGCUAGGGGCACCCACCUUGGUUGACCCACCUCCAGCUUUUGUUAUUGAUGGGCUACUUAGAGCCAAGGUUGGCUAAGCAGCAGCUGAAUGACUCAUCCUCCUUCCCCCACCCCGACUCAAUUCAUUACAGUGAUGGCGUUGGUGCAACUGAAUCCCCCAAAUAUAUUUCACCAUGAACUUUACACAGCCAGUUUUGGAAGUGGGUAUAACCUGAUGGAAAUUGAAUCAACAUGUUUUGGCUCAUUCGUCCUGACAUAAACCCUCAAAUGCUGUUCGUCAGGGAUGAUUCAAUACUCUAGGCUUUCAAAAAGCUAUUGAGUGUUUCCUGCUUCCACGCCUCAAGCACGUUCUGCACUGGGCAAACAAGAGCAAUCUUGUUCCAAACAGACCCAUGAUGAGUCUAAGUGGGACCCACAGGUCCUUCUCUCAGCAAUUAAAGUUCACCUUGGUUCCCAUCAAAUUAGAACCGAACACAGAGAUUGUGAUAGGAUUGAGUACUGUGAGUGCUCUUAGAAAUCCUCCAGGUCAACCUCCUCGUUUAUUUUACAGGUGGGGGAACUGAGGGAAACAGAGAAGUUUACUGAAUCACAGAAUCAGAGACUUAGAGAGCAAGGAAGGAGCCCUAGAGUACAGUCCCUUAAUUUUAUGUAUGAGGAAACUGAGGCACAGAGCAAUGAGAUGACUUGUCCAGAGUUGCAGAGGUAGGACAUGAGCUCAUUUCCUCCUGAUUCCAGGUCUAGUGCUCUGUGCACUCUGUCCAACCCUCUCAUUUGACAAAUGAAGAAACUGAGGUCCCUUAGUUAUUAAGUGAAUUUCCCAGGGUCACACAGGUAAUAAGUGUCAGGGCCAAGAUCAGAACCCAGAACCUCCCUAUUUUAUUUUCUCUUCAUUCUGCCUUUACAACAAACUGAUGCAUCAGUUCAUACCAGAGGAAGGCAUUACCCUGUUUUUAGAGAGAAGAGGACACAGAAAGAGGUUUGCCUCAUUCAUUCAUUCAUUCAUUUGUUCACUCAUUCAGAGAAACAUUGUGAUUUCAUAGAAAAAGCACUGUAUUCAGAUUCAGAAGCUUCAAGUUCAAGGCCUGGCUUCUGUACUUUCUAGUUGUGUGUGAUUAUAAAUAAGGAAAUUAAUUUGUCUGAACUUUA